RNAcentral lists this ribosomal RNA (468 nucleotides) under uncultured bacterium. RNAcentral describes it as "partial 16S ribosomal RNA". It matches the Rfam family "Bacterial small subunit ribosomal RNA", at positions 28 to 507 of the family's 1533-position model. The record is from RNAcentral.
GACGAACGCUGGCGGCGUGCUUAACACAUGCAAGUCGAACGGAAAGGCCCUGCUUUUGUGGGGUGCUCGAGUGGCGAACGGGUGAGUAACACGUGAGUAACCUGCCCUUGACUUUGGGAUAACUUCAGGAAACUGGGGCUAAUACCGGAUAGGAGCUCCUGCUGCAUGGUGGGGGUUGGAAAGUUUCGGCGGUUGGGGAUGGACUCGCGGCUUAUCAGCUUGUUGGUGGGGUAGUGGCUUACCAAGGCUUUGACGGGUAGCCGGCCUGAGAGGGUGACCGGCCACAUUGGGACGGAGAUACGGCCCAGACUCCUACGGGAGGCAGCGGUGGGGAAUAUUGCACAAUGGGCGGAAGCCUGAUGCAGCAACGCCGCGUGCGGGAUGACGGCCUUCGGGUUGUAAACCGCUGUCGCCUGUGACGAAGCGUGAGUGACGGUAAUGGGUAAAGAAGCACCGGCUAACUACGUG